CAAAGUAUAGCUAAAUUAGGAAAGCAUCUCGUUUACACUGAGAAGUCUGUCUGUGCAAAUCGGACUACUUUGA
Molecule: transfer RNA, 73 nt
Filed under: Bregmaceros nectabanus (smallscale codlet)
Lineage: Eukaryota; Metazoa; Chordata; Actinopteri; Gadiformes; Bregmacerotidae
Description: tRNA-Val
Rfam family: tRNA
About the family: Transfer RNA (tRNA) molecules are approximately 80 nucleotides in length. Their secondary structure includes four short double-helical elements and three loops (D, anti-codon, and T loops).
Source: RNAcentral